CCUACGGGAGGCAGCAGUGGGGAAUAUUGCGCAAUGGGCGAAAGCCUGACGCAGCGACGCCGCGUGAGGGAUGAAGGUCUUCGGAUCGUAAACCUCUGUUAGCAGGGAAGAACGGUCACUGUGCUAAUCAGCAGUGAAUUGACGGUACCUGCAAAGGAAGCACCGGCUAACUCCGUGCCAGCAGCCGCGGUAAUACGGAGGGUGCGGGCGUUAAUCGGAAUUACUUGGAGGAAAGCGCUCGUAGGCGGUAUGUCAAGUCAAGGGUGAAAUCCCCGGGCUCAACGUGGGAACUGCAGUGGAAACUGGCAAACUGGAGUGUGUGGGAGGAUAGUGGAAUUCCAGGUGUAGGAGUGAAAUCCGUAGAUAUCUGGAAGAACAUCAGUGGCGAAGGCGACUAUCUGGCACAUAACUGACGCUGAGGAGCGAAAGCGUGGGUAGCAAACAGGAUUAGAUACCCGUGUAGUC
RNAcentral lists this ribosomal RNA (465 nucleotides) under uncultured bacterium. RNAcentral's name for it is "partial 16S ribosomal RNA". It matches the Rfam family "Bacterial small subunit ribosomal RNA", at positions 338 to 795 of the family's 1533-position model. The record is from RNAcentral.